GUGAGGAAUGUUGCGCAAUGGAGGCAACUCUGACGCAGCCAUGCCGCGUGCAGGAAGAAGGCGCUACGCGUUGUAAACUGCUUUUAACCGGGAAGAAACCCCAGGACGUGUCCUGGGUUGACGGUACCGGAGGAAUAAGCACCGGCUAACUUCGUGCCAGCAGCCGCGGUAAUACGAAGGGUGCAAGCGUUAUCCGGAUUCAUUGGGUUUAAAGGGUGCGUAGGCGGAGCGUUAAGUCAGUGGUGAAAUCCUGCAGCUUAACUGUAGACUUGCCAUUGAUACUGGCGCUCUUGAGUGCGCUUGAAGUGGGCGGAAUGUGCCGUGUAGCGGUGAAAUGCUUAGAUAUGGCACAGAACACCAAUUGCGAAGGCAGCUCACUAAGGCGAUACUGACGCUGAGGCACGAAAGCGUGGGGAUCGAACAGGAUUAGAAACCCUAGUAGUCC
Molecule: ribosomal RNA, 445 nt
Filed under: uncultured bacterium
Lineage: Bacteria
Description: partial 16S ribosomal RNA
Rfam family: Bacterial small subunit ribosomal RNA
Source: RNAcentral